AUUGAACGCUGGCGGCAGGCUUAACACAUGCAAGUCGAGCGGGGUGAUGGUGCUUGCACUAUCACUUAGCGGCGGACGGGUGAGUAAUGCUUAGGAAUCUGCCUAUUAGUGGGGGACAACAUCUCGAAAGGGAUGCUAAUACCGCAUACGUCCUACGGGAGAAAGCAGGGGAUCACUUGUGACCUUGCGCUAAUAGAUGAGCCUAGGUCGGAUUAGCUAGUUGGGGGGGUAAAGGCCUACCAAGGCGACGAUCUGUAGCGGGUCUGAGAGGAUGAACCGCCACACUGGGACUGAGACACGGCCCAGACUCCUACGGGAGGCAGCAGUGGGGAAUAUUGGACAAUGGGGGGAACCCUGAUCCAGCCAUGCCGCGUGUGUGAAGAAGGCCUUAUGGUUGUAAAGCACUUUAAGCGAGGAGGAGGCUCUUUUGGUUAAUACCCAAGAUGAGUGGACGUUACUCGCAGAAUAAGCACCGGCUAACUCUGUGCCAGCAGCCGCCGUAA
RNAcentral lists this ribosomal RNA (503 nucleotides) under uncultured bacterium. RNAcentral describes it as "partial 16S ribosomal RNA". It matches the Rfam family "Bacterial small subunit ribosomal RNA", at positions 30 to 523 of the family's 1533-position model. The record is from RNAcentral.